Molecule: ribosomal RNA, 253 nt
Filed under: uncultured bacterium
Lineage: Bacteria
Description: partial 16S ribosomal RNA
Rfam family: Bacterial small subunit ribosomal RNA
Source: RNAcentral
UACGUAGGUGGCGAGCGUUGUCCGGAUUUACUGGGCGUAAAGGGCGUGCAGGCGGUUUGUUAAGUGCAGGGUGAAAGCUCCCGGCUCAACUGGGAGAGGUCCUUGCAUACUGGCGAACUCGAGGGAGGCAGAGGAAAGUGGAAUUCCCGGUGUAGUGGUGAUAUGCGUAGAUAUCGGGAGGAACACCUGUGGCGAAGGCGGCUUUCUGGGCCUUACCUGACGCUGAGGCGCGAAAGCUAGGGGAGCAAACGGG